UACAGAGGUCUCAAGCGUUGUUCGGAUUCAUUGGGCGUAAAGGGUGCGUAGGCGGCGCGGUAAGUCGGGUGUGAAAUCUUGGAGCUUAACUCCGAAACUGCAUUCGAUACUGCCGUGCUUGAGGACUGGAGAGGAGACUGGAAUUUACGGUGUAGCGGUGAAAAGCGUAGAUAUCGUAAGGAAGACCAGUGGCGAAGGCGGGUCUCUGGACAGUUCCUGACGCUGAGGCACGAAGGCCAGGGGAGCAAACGGG
Molecule: ribosomal RNA, 253 nt
Filed under: uncultured bacterium
Lineage: Bacteria
Description: partial 16S ribosomal RNA
Rfam family: Bacterial small subunit ribosomal RNA
Source: RNAcentral